UAAUACUAGUACUAUUUUAAGAGAUCAAUCAUACUACUUCAAGAGAUCGCGUUAGGAAGAAGAGAUCAUAAAAUACAUUCUUGAUAUGAUUUGCCAGCUCAUGUCGUGUUUGAUCAGGUGUUUUAAUCUUUAGGUUGUUGUACUUAGAAAGAAGUAUCUUCUUUUUUGACAACAAAAGAUAAGAAUCUUUUUUGAAAGAACUUUAGAUCCAUGAACAAGAAUGUUUGGAAGACGAACAAAAGAAAAUUUAAAGAAGAAACUUUCCUCUUUUGUCAGUUUGAUUCUUCGUUGCUCCGAGAAUGCUUACUGUAGAAUGAUUUUAAAAAUCAUCGUUCUGGUCUUGUCCUCUAUUGAAUGGUUCAGUCACUUGAAUGUGUGAUUCUUCAGGAUCGCUUGGUGUUCUCUUGGAGCUACCAGAAGCCCACCUUAAUGUGACUUCGUACAUUGAAGGAGAUGUCAUACCCAGACCCCACAGUAUAGGCUCAGUGAACAGCGCCCUAGGCAGGUGGAGAGGAGACAGCCAACAUCACAUGGGAUAUCAAGCUCUGGAGAAUUAGACAACGCGCAGUGCUUAAUAAUCUAUAAACCCUAGUUCUUACAUGAACAAGCAUGCAUCUGUAAUGGAGUUGCUUUUUGACUUAAACUCUCUCACCAUGUCAGAGAAUUAUCAAUUAUCCACAGUGUCAUCAUCAUUCACCA
Long non-coding RNA from Brassica napus (rape), 699 nucleotides. RefSeq lists it as uncharacterized. The transcript has 2 exons. The record is from RefSeq and is a predicted model, not a curated record. Lineage: Eukaryota; Viridiplantae; Streptophyta; Magnoliopsida; Brassicales; Brassicaceae.